This is a long non-coding RNA of Canis lupus familiaris (dog), 1510 nucleotides long. RefSeq lists it as uncharacterized. The record is from RefSeq and is a predicted model, not a curated record. The transcript has 2 exons. NCBI's taxonomy places the organism in Eukaryota, Metazoa, Chordata, Mammalia, Carnivora, Canidae.
CGGGCUUCCCCCGUCCCUCCGCCCCUCGCAGGAGCGCCAGUGCACCCAGACGGAGCGCCGCGCCCUUUGCACCCCACCCCGCGUCCCCCCCGGGGAGCAGCGCGCGCAGUCAGGCCUGCAGGCAGAGCGGCCGCCGCAGCGAGCUGCGGAUCUCCAGGCAAGCCUUGCGGCGCUCCGGGCAGUCGGGACCCAGCACGUCCAGUUCGCACACCCGCCGGUUGACCUGCGAGGACCGCACCCAGCCUGUGCCCAGGACUCCCGGGUCCCUUGGCACCCAGCCUGGGGCCCCGGGGAUGGGCCUGGUCUACAGCAGAACAUAAAAAAAUAUUUGCAGAAGCUGUGUGACGCUAAAAGUGCCUUUCUGGAGCAUGCCUACUUUGGUCCUGCUGCCACCCUCCAAAGCCUUUCCAAAAAGAAACCAGAGUCACUUGGACAGGGUCGCUCAGAAAGGCAACACCUGUCAUGAUGUGCUCCUGUUGAUGCUCCUUGUGGCCCUGCAUCCCACCAUCCCUGGAGGACUUGUUUCUAUUGAGACGGCCACCGCUCCUCAGCCAGGUGCCACCCAGGUGCCACCGGGUGUGGGAGGGGCUCCUCACCUGCCGCUGGGCUUUCACUGGCUGCUUCUGCAGGACCUCCACCAGGGCGACGGCCUCCUCGCCACUCCCCGGACUCCGCUCCCGCACCCAGUCCUGGACAUCUCCAGGCAGCACGCUCAGGAACUGCUCCAGCACCAGCAGCUCCAGGAUCUGCUCCUUGGUGUGAAGCUCCGGCCGCAGCCAGCGGCAGCAGAGCUCCCAGAGCUGGCUGAAGGCCUCGUGGGGCCCACCCACGUCCCUAUAGCAGAAAUGCCGAAAGCGCUGGCGGCAGGCCUCAGAAUCCCUGCUGUCUUCUUGCUGGGCAGAGUCCUGCUCCCAGGAAGAAUCUUCCACCUUCACGAUCAGCAGACCUGCUCCCUCCCCAGGGGCCUCCUCCUGAGACUCUGGGGGGGCUGCCAUUCCCCUGGCCUAAAGCUCAGGACUGCUUGGCCUCACCGGGCCUGGGAGCCAGUCCUUCAGUCUCCCAGAGGGAUCCCCUGUGGCAGCCGGGUGGGCAUCUGGACACGCAUUCCUGGGGAAAGAGCAAAAAGUGGCGGGGGGGGCAGUACAUGAGCAAACACCAGCCAGCCUGCUCCUGUCCUUUCCUGGCCCUGAAGUCUUUUUAGGCUCUCCCGGAAUGCCUCACUCCUAUGACAAGCUCUUUACCCACACCAGCUACAGCCCUUUAUCCUCAGCUCUGAAAUCCAAAACUCCCAGGUUUUUACUCCCUGGCCUACUGAUAUAGGCAUAUUUACUCCCUGGCCUACUGAUGUGAGCAUAUUUAUGAUCUCCACUUAUCUCAUUUAAUUUCAUAUUCAUAGGUUUCACAGCAAAAACCUUUAUGUGUUUCUUCUGUUUGGAAAUAUUCACCGAAAUAUAUUUACCAUGUGUAUUUCUGUAUGUGCACUACACUUCAAUAAAAAAUUUAAUUAAUA